This 650-nucleotide ribosomal RNA is filed under the name uncultured bacterium. RNAcentral's name for it is "bacterial SSU rRNA". It matches the Rfam family "Bacterial small subunit ribosomal RNA", at positions 42 to 671 of the family's 1533-position model. The record is from RNAcentral.
UCAGGCCUAACACAUGCAAGUCGAGCGGAAACGAGUUAUCUGAACCUUCGGGGAACGAUAACGGCGUCGAGCGGCGGACGGGUGAGUAAUGCCUAGGAAAUUGCCCUGAUGUGGGGGAUAACCAUUGGAAACGAUGGCUAAUACCGCAUAAUGCCUACGGGCCAAAGAGGGGGACCUUCGGGCCUCUCGCGUCAGGAUAUGCCUAGGUGGGAUUAGCUAGUUGGUGAGGUAAGGGCUCACCAAGGCGGCGAUCCCUAGCUGGUCUGAGAGGAUGAUCAGCCACACUGGAACUGAGACACGGUCCAGACUCCUACGGGAGGCAGCAGUGGGGAAUAUUGCACAAUGGGCGCAAGCCUGAUGCAGCCAUGCCGCGUGUAUGAAGAAGGCCUUCGGGUUGUAAAGUACUUUCAGUCGUGAGGAAGGUAGUGUAGUUAAUAGCUGCAUUAUUUGACGUUAGCGACAGAAGAAGCACCGGCUAACUCCGUGCCAGCAGCCGCGGUAAUACGGAGGGUGCGAGCGUUAAUCGGAAUUACUGGGCGUAAAGCGCAUGCAGGUGGUUUGUUAAGUCAGAUGUGAAAGCCCGGGGCUCAACCUCGGAAUAGCAUUUGAAACUGGCAGACUAGAGUACUGUAGAGGGGGGUAGAAUUUCA